AGCAAUUUAGCAUACAUAACACCAAAUAUGAUCAUGAUUAGCCAUUCCAAUGGCUAAUCAUUACCAAGCAUUUCCAUACCACUCAAUAUCCAUAUCAUAAGACCAUAUAUACAAGAUGAUUAUAAUGCUAUACAUGCCAUACUCAAAAUAUACAAGCCAUUAUGCCAAGAUGGUAUACGGAUAGUGUGAGUGGGCCUCCGACCGUUCCCGAUUUCUGAGCUGGCUUGUCAAAACUACAAGGAAUGAAAAGGAGGGAGUAAGCAUAAAUGAUUAGUAAGUCCAUAUGAAAUUAAUAAGCAAUUACCAACAUGCUUUUAAGAUAAAACACCACAAUUGUACAAUUAUACAUACUCAGCUUAAACUGUUUUAUCGAGAUACAUUUACUAAAUAAUUUAUUUCUAAAGCUAAGAAACUCCAAAUUAAGUUUCGUUAAUUUUUAUUGAAACUAGAUUCAUAUACCUUUCUCCCAUAAAAUUUCCAGAAUUUUUGGUUUAGCCAUUUAGUACAGUUUAUUCAUUAAAGUUUCCCCUGUUUCGCUGUCCAACAGUUCUGAUCUCUCUUCACUAAAAAUUAUUUAUCUCAUAAUUUGGGACUUGGAUGAUGUUCCCGUCUAUCCCUAUUGAAAAUAGACUCGAUAAGGAUUUUAAAUAUAUAAAUUAAAACUCAUAAUUAUUUUUGUACAAUUUCUAAUGAUUUUCUAAAAUCAGAACAGGGGAUCUCGAAGUCAUUCAAACUCUGUCUCACAACAAAUUUAAAUAUCUUUUAACAUAAAAUCCAAUUGCAUGCACCGUUUCGUCUAUAUGAAACUAGACUCAUCAGGAUUUAAUCUCAUAUUUUAUUCAGCCCUUAACUCAAUUUCCACAAUUUAUGGUAAAUUUCAAAAGUUACACUACUGCAGUAACCCAAAACUGCCAAGGCCAUAUUUAUUCAUUCUCCACUAUUAUUCACUAAAUCCAUAUAAUAUCAUUUCAUCCAUCAUGGUAAGAACACAUAAUUAUGCUUCAUAAGCAUAGAUCCAUAAUCUCAAUGUCAUCAAGUAUCAAGAACUUAUUCCAAAUCGUGUCAUUUUCAUAGUAUUCACCAAUUCUUAAUCUUUUCGGGCCAUUUUACAUUUUCGUUCAUAAUCAAAUUAGGGAACGAUUACGGAAUUGAGUACCUCAUUAUCACAAUGCCAUAGUAAAACUAUGGUCUUGCACAUAGUUACAUAUCACAUACCGAGGCCAUAGCCCAGCCAUGGUCUUACACGGAUCACAUAUCACACUGAUGCUAUAUCCCAGAUAUGGUCUUAUACAGUAGCACAUAUCACACUGAUGCCAUAUCCCGGAUAUGGUCUUAUACGGAAGCACAUAUCACAUUUCUCCGAAGCCAUAGCCCAGCUAUGGUCUUAUACAGAAAUCACAUUUCACAUGCUGCCAUGAUCCAACCAUGGUCUUUUCCGUCAAUUCGUCUUAGCCACUGAAUGAAAGUACUCAAGUCCGUUGUUCCAUUUAAUUUGUACUUUUAUUCAAAUAUCAUUUUACAAUUAUCACAGUUUAAUGACAUUUUAUAUGCAAUAAUAUACUAUAUCAUUCAUGAAAUUUUCAUUUCAAAACAUUAAAUUACACAUUGCAUUAUUAAAAAUCAUAUGAACUUACCUCGAUAUAAAAUAUUAGCAAUCGAGCCUAUUCCUCGUAGACUUUAUUUUUCCCUCGAUCACGACUUGAAUCUCG
RNAcentral lists this long non-coding RNA (1709 nucleotides) under Gossypium barbadense (sea-island cotton). RNAcentral describes it as "long non-coding RNA (GBAR_LNC005304)". The record is from RNAcentral. Lineage: Eukaryota; Viridiplantae; Streptophyta; Magnoliopsida; Malvales; Malvaceae.